Molecule: ribosomal RNA, 150 nt
Filed under: uncultured bacterium
Lineage: Bacteria
Description: partial 16S ribosomal RNA
Rfam family: Bacterial small subunit ribosomal RNA
Source: RNAcentral
CUGACGGAGCACGCCGCGUGAGUGAUAGAAGGUCUUCGGAUCGUAAAACUCUGUUAUUAGGGAAGAACAAAUGUGUAAGUAACUAUGCACAUCUUGACGGUACCUAAUCAGAAAGCCACGGCUAACUACGUGCCAGCAGCCGCGGUAAUA